Molecule: long non-coding RNA, 2341 nt
Organism: Humulus lupulus (European hop)
Lineage: Eukaryota; Viridiplantae; Streptophyta; Magnoliopsida; Rosales; Cannabaceae
Exons: 3
Source: RefSeq, a predicted model, not a curated record
UGAAUGGCAACAUAGUGCUUAGAAAGUGGCUAAGAUUUAGAGAUCACAAGCAGAACUGGGAUGUGGUGAAAGAUUAUGCUAUACAAGAAGGUUUUGAGCUUCAGAAAGUGAAGCAUGCUUCUAGCAUAAUUACUACACGUUGUAGAGCAAUGCACAUGGCGAAUCCAUGCUUCUAAGUCACCAGAUGGUACUGAGUUUCUCAUAAAAACAUACAAUCUUGAAUAUAAUUUCCAGUGUGUUGUGAAGAAUAGGAUAGUUACAGCGAGUUGGAUUGCCAAAAAUCUCUUCGUAAUAGCUUUGCUAGAAAUCCUACAAUGAGUGUCGACAAAAUGAGAACUGAGUUGAGAGACCAUUUUGGAGUUGAGGCUACAAACAGGCGACUAUGGGCAGCUAGACAGAAAGCUAGAGGGGCUUCAGGAGGGGCUUAUUCAUAUGCCAACUUAAGGCGUUAUGGUGCUAUGAUCCUUAAAUUCAAUCCGGGGAGUGCUGCUAUUGUCCAGACAAACUUAGAGCCAAUUGAAGAGCAUUUGGAGGGUGACACUAAUGAACCAUUGAUUGGUGUGGAAUCAGUAAUGAAGCUUCAAUUCAAGAGAAUCUUUGUUUGCUACGAAGGUGUGAAAUCGGGUUUCAAAGCAGGUUUCGACCUUUUUUUGGGUUAGAUGGUUGUCAUCUGAGAGGGUCAUACAAGAGCAUUUUAUUAGCAGCAAUGGGGGUUGAUGCAAAUCUUCAUUUCUAUCCCAUUGCAUAUGCUAUUGUAGAAGCAGAGAAUACUAGUAGUUGGAAAUGGUUCUUGGAGAUGUUACUGGAAGAAAUUGAAAGAAAUUGGGGAUUCUGCCAAUGGCAAGCCAUGGUGUGUUAUGAGUGACAGACAGAAGGGUUUAAUUGAUGCCGUGGCUAACAUCCCAGAUGUAUCACAACGUUUUUUGUUGUUUUCAUUUGGAGAACAACAUGGUGAAGAAAUUUGGGGCAUCAGAACUUAAACAACUGUUUUAGGCAGCGACACAGACAUCAAGCUUUGAUAAUUUCAAGCGUAUAAAGACAUUCAACAAGGAAGCACAUGAGUGGCUACCAAUAUUGACUUCAACCAUUGGUGUAUGAGCAAGUUUAACACAAAUGUUAAGGCGGAGCAUCUUACAAAAAACUUUGUAAAAUCUUUCAAUGGUUGGAUAGAUGGCCACCAAUACAAGCCUCCUAUUGAAUUACUUGAGGGUAUAAGAAUGCAGCAUACCUGAAUGAUGUAUGUUAGGAAAAAGAUAGCAGACAAAUGGUCUCACAAGCUAACCCCAAAGGUGAAAUUGAGGGCCAAUGAAAUCCAAAAAAAAAGCACGUUUCGCAACUGUUACAAAUGUUAUAAAUUAAGAAUUCCAAGUUGUUUAUUCUGCAAAAAGGUGUAUUUUUCGAUUAAAUGAAGGAUAUUGCAUAUGUGGCCUAUCACAGAUAAGAGGAAUCCCUUGUAUUCAUGCAGCUGCUUGCAUAAAUACUAUAAGGGCGGACAUUACCAAUUAUUGCUCGCCAUAUGUCACCACUGAAAUGUUGAGGAAGAGUUUUGAGUAUGCUAUUCAUCUGGUAAAUGUGGCCUCAAUUUGACGAUGAGGAAUUACUACCACCUAUUAUAAAAAAAACUCCCAAGCAGACCCAAAAAAUAUCAUAGAAUAAGGGUUGCAGGAGAGAAGCGACAUUUACCCACUGUUCUUGGAAAACAACCAGUUAGAAAGGGAGUUUCUAGCACUAAGAAGUGCAAGAACUGUCUUGAAUUUGGCCAUAACAAAAGGUCAUGCAAGAAACCACCAGCUCCUACCCCAUCUCAAUCACAACCUGAAAAUGCACCAGCAGCAUGUCGAGGAAAAAGAAAGGCAGCAGGUCGGGGCAGAGGUCAAGCCAAAAAAUAAAAAAGAGGCACAUCACAUGAGGCUUCUGUUCCAAGCUUGGAGCCAUCUGCUAAAGAAAUCCAGACAAAUGCACCACCAAUGGAUUUGUUCUAAGCCCAAGAGACUCAGUAGACCCACCAAGUAUAACAACAACAUUUGGCAAACUUGAUUUUAAAGAAAGAACCUAAUUUUGAAGAGCCUAUGUUUUUUGUUUUUUGUUUUUUAUAAGGAUGUUACCUAUAACUUUUUUGCAAGCUGCUUUUGUAAAACCUAAACCAACUGUUGUUGGAUUUCUUUUGUAACGCACUUACACAGUGACUACUUGUGUGCUAAUUAUUUUUGUAAAGCCUGAAACAAUUGUUGUUGGAUUCCUUUUGUAAAUCACUUAUACGGUGACUACUUGUUUGCUAAUUAUUACAAACUUCCAGCUGUGACUUUUUAAUGAGAAGCUAAUGAAACUCAUUUUGCCAAAA